UGGGGAAUUUUGCACAAUGGGGGAAACCCUGAUGCAGCGACGCCGCGUGAUUUAGAAGGCCUUCGGGUUAUAAAAAUCUUUUCUAUGGGAAGAAAAUGACAGUACCAUAGGAAUAAGGACCGGCUAAUUACGUGCCAGCAGCCGCGGUAAUACGUAAGGUCCGAGCGUUGUCCGGAAUCAUUGGGCGUAAAGGGUACGUAGGCGGGUAAGCAAGUUAGAAGUGAAAUCCUAUAGCUCAACUAUAGUAAGCUUUUAAAACUGCUCAUCUUGAGGUAUGGAAGGGAAAGUGGAAUUCCUAGUGUAGCGGUGAAAUGCGCAGAUAUUAGGAGGAAUACCGGUGGCGAAGGCGACUUUCUGGCCAUAACCUGACGCUGAGGUACGAAAGCGUGGGUAGCAAACAGG
This 402-nucleotide ribosomal RNA is filed under the name bacterium. RNAcentral describes it as "partial 16S ribosomal RNA". It matches the Rfam family "Bacterial small subunit ribosomal RNA", at positions 355 to 776 of the family's 1533-position model. The record is from RNAcentral.